UCCUGGCUCAGAUUGAACGCUAGCGGGAUGCCUUACACAUGCAAGUCGAACGGCAGCACGGACUUCGGUCUGGUGGCGAGUGGCGAACGGGUGAGUAAUGUAUCGGAACGUGCCUAGUAGCGGGGGAUAACUACGCGAAAGCGUAGCUAAUACCGCAUACGCCCUACGGGGGAAAGCAGGGGAUCGCAAGACCUUGCACUAUUAGAGCGGCCGAUAUCGGAUUAGCUAGUUGGUGGGGUAACGGCUCACCAAGGCGACGAUCCGUAGCUGGUUUGAGAGGACGACCAGCCACACUGGGACUGAGACACGGCCCAGACUCCUACGGGAGGCAGCAGUGGGGAAUUUUGGACAAUGGGGGAAACCCUGAUCCAGCCAUCCCGCGUGUGCGAUGAAGGCCUUCGGGUUGUAAAGCACUUUUGGCAGGAAAGAAACGUCAUGGGCUAAUACCCCGUGAAACUGACGGUACCUGCAGAAUAAGCACCGGCUAACUACGUGCCAGCAGCCGCGGUAAUACGUAGGGUGCAAGCGUUAAUCGGAAUUACUGGGCGUAAAGCGUGCGCAGGCGGUUCGGAAAGAAAGAUGUGAAAUCCCAGAGCUUAACUUUGGAACUGCAUUUUUAACUACCGAGCUAGAGUGUGUCAGAGGGAGGUGGAAUUCCGCGUGUAGCAGUGAAAUGCGUAGAUAUGCGGAGGAACACCGAUGGCGAAGGCAGCCUCCUGGGAUAA
This 725-nucleotide ribosomal RNA is filed under the name Achromobacter spanius. RNAcentral describes it as "bacterial SSU rRNA". It matches the Rfam family "Bacterial small subunit ribosomal RNA", at positions 17 to 737 of the family's 1533-position model. Lineage: Bacteria; Pseudomonadati; Pseudomonadota; Betaproteobacteria; Burkholderiales; Alcaligenaceae. The record is from RNAcentral.